This 1132-nucleotide ribosomal RNA is filed under the name uncultured marine eukaryote. RNAcentral describes it as "SSU rRNA". It matches the Rfam family "Eukaryotic small subunit ribosomal RNA", at positions 411 to 1561 of the family's 1831-position model. The record is from RNAcentral.
CACUUCUAAGGAAGGCAGCAGGCGCGCAAAUUACCCAAUCCUGACUCAGGGAGGUAGUGACAAGAAAUAACAAUAAACCGGCUUAUGCCGGUUUAAUUGGAAUGAGUACAAUUUAAACAUCUUAACGAGGAACAAUUGGAGGGCAAGUCUGGUGCCAGCAGCCGCGGUAAUUCCAGCUCCAAUAGCGUAUACUAAAGUUGUUGCAGUUAAAAAGCUCGUAGUUGGAUUUCUGUGGGGACGGAGCGGCCGGCCGCAACACGCGGUUCGAGCUAGCGCUUUCCCUACAUCCUGCCGCGAACCGUGCUACCAUUAGUUUGGUGGCGCCGGGGAUCGGCUCGAUUACUUUGAGAAAAAUAGAGUGUUCAAAGCAGGCCACACGCCUUGAAUAAGUUAGCAUGGAAUAAUAACUAAGGACUUCGGUUCUAUUUUGUUGGUGUUCGGGACUGAAGUAAUGAUUGAUAGGGACAGUUGGGGCGGUCUGUAUUCCAAAGCGAGAGGUGAAAUUCUUAGACCUUCGGAAGACAAACAGCUGCGAAAGCGUUCCGCAAGGAUGUUCCCUUUGAUCAAGAACGAAAGUUGGGGGAUCGAAGACGAUCAGAUACCGUCGUAGUCUCAACUAUAAACUAUACCAGCUAGGGAUCGGCCAACGUUAUUUCAUACCGACUUGGUCGGCACCUUAUGAGAAAUCAAAGCAUCUGGGUUCCGGGGGGAGUAUGGUCGCAAGGCUGAAACUUAAAGGAAUUGACGGAAGGGCACCACCAGCCGUGGAGCCUGUGGCUUAAUUUGACUCAACACGGGAAAACUUACCAGGUCCAGACAUAGUAAGGAUUGACAGAUUGAUAGCUCUUUCUUGAUUCUGUGGGUGGUGGUGCAUGGCCGUUCUUAGUUGGUGGAGUGAUUUGUCUGGUUAAUUCCGUUAACGAACGAGACCCCAGCCUGCUAAAUAGCGCGUGUGAGCUUUGCUCGCAGCGAGCUUCUUAGAGGGACUAUGAUGCGCGAUAGCACAUGGAAGUUUGGGGCAAUAACAGGUCUGUGAUGCCCUUAGAUGUUCUGGGCCGCACACGGGCUACACUGGCGCCUGCAACGAGCAUAUCAGCUGGCCCGAGAGGGUCUUGGCUAAUCUUUUGAACCG